UCCUGCCCCGCCCCUAGCCUCCUUUGCCCUGUGAUGGGAAAGGUAUUUUGAGGCCUCUUUGCUCUACCUCCUCUAGGGAGGAAAAAGUUAUUCUCGUAAAUUUGUAUUAUGUUUUCUGGGCUUUCACGUUUCUUCAUAUACUAAGCAGUAUAAUUUUAUGAGAAAAUCAAGGGAGGCAUUUUAGAGUAGUAAAUUACCGAAGUGACUCUAGAGAUAGUCAUUUUCCAUUUUAUCAGAUCGUCUUCUUUGUUUAAAAGGGAAGAUUAUAUGCCUUUUCUCAUAGCUUCAGUGUAACUUUUUUUUUUGAAAUUAAAUUGUACUUUUCUAACUGCAUUGCACACUCAGUUCUGCAACAUUAGGUAUAUUAUACUACCCUUAAAAAAAAAAGACUUUUAUUUCAUCUGGAUAAACCAUUCAUCUAAAGUUUUUUACAAGUGAUUUAUUUCCUGCUAAGAGGGAGAAGCCAGGGAUAGAAUACACACCCACUCAGAGAGAACUCACUUCCUUUCUGUU
This 513-nucleotide long non-coding RNA is filed under the name Bos taurus (domestic cattle). Its description in RNAcentral is "long non-coding RNA NONBTAT021563". Lineage: Eukaryota; Metazoa; Chordata; Mammalia; Artiodactyla; Bovidae. The record is from RNAcentral.